This 498-nucleotide ribosomal RNA is filed under the name uncultured bacterium. RNAcentral describes it as "partial 16S ribosomal RNA". It matches the Rfam family "Bacterial small subunit ribosomal RNA", at positions 29 to 523 of the family's 1533-position model. The record is from RNAcentral.
AUUGAACGCUGGCGGCACGCCUUACACAUGCAAGUCGAACGGUAACGCGGGGCAACCUGGCGACGAGUGGCGAACGGGUGAGUAACGCAUCGGAACGUGCCCAGUAGUGGGGGAUAGCCCGGCGAAAGCCGGAUUAAUACCGCAUACGACCUACGGGUGAAAGAGGGGGAUCGCAAGACCUCUCGCUAUUGGAGCGGCCGAUGUCAGAUUAGGUAGUUGGUGGGGUAAAGGCCUACCAAGCCUACGAUCUGUAGCUGGUCUGAGAGGACGACCAGCCACACUGGGACUGAGACACGGCCCAGACUCCUACGGGAGGCAGCAGUGGGGAAUUUUGGACAAUGGGCGCAAGCCUGAUCCAGCCAUGCCGCGUGCGGGAAGAAGGCCUUCGGGUUGUAAACCGCUUUUGUCAGGGAAGAAACGCUCUGGACUAAUACUCUGGGGUAAUGACGGUACCUGAAGAAUAAGCACCGGCUAACUACGUGCCAGCCGCCGCCGCAA